GUCUCCCCACCGCCGUAGUCUUCCCACGGCGGAGAGAGAAAAAGGGUGACGCUAUGGCCAGGAAAGAAGAGCGAUAGAGAGAGAGAGAAAAAAAAGAUCUUCGUCUACUGCUCCCCUGCCUGCAGCGCGCUUCCUAGGCCGGAGCCGGCGCGAGCGCUGGGCUGGGCGGGAACGCGGGAUCUGGGAGACGGAUCCGACGAAGCCGAAGGCGGGGCUCGAGAAGCGGCGGCCGUGCCGGCGCCGGUGAAGAAGAAGCGAAAUCUGCCCAGGACGCUAGCUUCAAGCAUAAAAGGAGCUCAACAUGGAUCCUUGACGACAGCGGCCCACCAGCGGUGGCAAGUUUCAGCGAUUUCCACAUCUGCGAGGCAGCUGCAGGUGCGGCAGCAAGAACAAGACCGAGCAGUUAUAAUGACGCACAAGCCAUGAGCGAGACCAUAAUAUUUGUAUUUGGCGAUUUGUGAUAUCUGUGGCUAGGCCUAUCUGUGGCUAAUCAUCUUUGUGUUGGUUUUGAUAUUGGACUUCUUUUAUUACUUGAUGUGUGAAUUACAUUGUGGUCGAUCUGGUUCGUGCUUGAUUUUCUGAUGCAAUGGGCAGUGCGGGAGGGGCACGUUGCUAGUGCCAUGCUUUUUCUUUGAUGAGUUUGAAAUAUAUUCUUCCUGCGGCUGUGA
Panicum virgatum (switchgrass) is the source of this 668-nucleotide long non-coding RNA. RefSeq lists it as uncharacterized. NCBI's taxonomy places the organism in Eukaryota, Viridiplantae, Streptophyta, Magnoliopsida, Poales, Poaceae. The transcript has 2 exons. The record is from RefSeq and is a predicted model, not a curated record.